Long non-coding RNA from Nothobranchius furzeri (turquoise killifish), 941 nucleotides. RefSeq lists it as uncharacterized. NCBI's taxonomy places the organism in Eukaryota, Metazoa, Chordata, Actinopteri, Cyprinodontiformes, Nothobranchiidae. The record is from RefSeq and is a predicted model, not a curated record.
UCAGAAACAGCUUGCAAAUAUUAAAAUGUAUUAUUAUACAUUAAAAAGCUAAAUAUAUUUUCAUGUGUUCACCAGAUAAUUGUCUUACGUCCUUCACCUAGGGUGAAUGCUGUAUCCUCCUGUUACUCGUGUACAGCUACUGUAACUUUCUAGUGGCUCUUAUAGUUUCUAUUUUAAAGGCGCAUGGGGCAGCAUGAAGAAACUAAACUCACGAGCAACGCGCUCGGAGCUAGAUUGACUUGAGGAGGAGUGAUGGAGCACACUGAGCCAUGCAGCAAACAGCAGCUCUUAUGGAAGAGGACCGAAACCUCACACAGCUAGAUGCAGCUUUACAACAUCUGAGCCAGGAGGAAAAACAACUUUCUCCACAGAGUGGUGACCCGUCUACCUGGGGUGAUGCUGGACAUCCUGGAAUUCCGGCAAGAGACACCAGGACCUCAUCUUUUUGAUCGUGGGCAGCCGAGACCGAGAGUUUCUGUUUCCUGCCUACUCUUCACAGUUCACAAUCUGGCAACAUGAGCGUCUGGGAAAAGGGAAUCAGAGGCCAACACCAAGCCGCUGCGUUGAAAAAUUCCCUGAUCCAUUAGGAGAUGACACUGGCUAAGCUCCACUUAGGGUGGCAGACUAAAUGUUUAAUCUAUGAUAACAAAAGCUCACAAACAACCAUACCUCACAAUAACAGUCAUUAGCUGAAGACCACACUUUAAUACACAAAAUAAAUGUGCAUCUUAUUUAUUUUCAUUUAUUUGCACCCCACUGGACUGUGCAUCUUAACCAAGGAGAGACUGAACUGCUUAUGAUGAAUCAAAUGAGAUAAUUAUUCACUAUGUAAAUUUGUGAAUAUUUAUUGAAUGGCCCUUCGUUACUUUUUUGCUGUUUACUAUUUUUGUUUGCAUGAAUACAAGGUACCUCAAAACCAAAAUGUUGCUUUGUUCAGUCUC